UACACCACAACCAUCCUGAGGACGAAGAAGAAGAAGAAGAAAAUGAUGGAGCACUCUCUGUGGAUUUCAACGUUGUUUUUAAAUUUCUAUUUCAUUUAUUCAUAAAUGGUAGAUAUCAGUGGUUUGUAUGAGAAUUUUGUCGUGUCAUGUACGGACACGAAGGGGAGCGACAAACGGAGGCUCCACGAAGAAACAGGUAACAGGUAAACCUCAGUGGCUGCUGCUGAACGUUACACAGGGAGGUGUGACACUGAAUGUAUAUUUUAGUCUUUUUCGGUGCAAGAAGUUCCAGUUAGAAAGGGAAGGAAAGGUAAAAAAUAAUAAAUAUCUGAGGACUUCAUCUACGGGGGCCAAAGACUGAUAACAUCCGGUCAGCCUCCCGGCCGAAAGUUAUCCUCCGACUGCCUGCCAAGCUACCGCAGUUCAAGGGAAGGUAAGAGACAGCUCAGUUAUCAUACUUUAACAUCCACACAUUUGUAGGCCAAAGUAAACAUUUUAUAAUACACGUUUUAUACACAAGGAAAUAGAUCUGUUACUUUAAGACCACUAAAAAAUGGCAAAAAACCCUAUUUUGCAUGGUUGGAUCUUAACAAGGUUCCAAGUAGAACUUCAACAUGCAACAAGAAGAAAUGGGAGUGAGACGAAACAUUUUUUUGAGCAAUUUAUUGAAAACAACUGUUAAACUGAAACAGGCUGUUUUACAGCUGAUCAGUGGUUUAGGACCACGUGCCUUUAAAAGGCCAAAUCUGUGCAGAAAUGUGGAUUCAUUGUCCUUUUCUGUCAGGCAGUCACACUGUCAUGAUGCUCUGAUGGCAAAGGAAAAAAUAACUUUCCCUUUUUAAAUGUGGUCGGGUUGUUGAACUGCAUAAGCAGGGUCUCUCACAGCACGCCAUCACUGCUGAGGUGGGACGCAGUAAGACGGUCAUUUGGAAUUUCUUAAAUUUCUUAAACAAAAAAGUAUGGUGAAGGAUCCAAAAAAAUGUCACCAGGACUGAGCCGGAGGAUCCAAUCAGCUGUCUGUCAAGACACUGGACGAUCCUCGACUCAAAUUAAAGCCGUUACUGGUGCCGACUGCAGCCCAAUAACCAUCAGACGGCAUCUGAGACUGAAGGGCUUCAAGAACAAAAAAAAACGUCUUCAAAGUCUCGUCUCCUUGAACGCCACAGAACUGACUGUUUGGACUUUGCAAGAGAGCACCACACAUGGGACACUGAAAGGUGGAAGAAAGUUCAAGUGGUCUUAAACUUUUGAUCAGGAUUGUAUUACCUCAUGAAGUACAGUCCUGAUCAUGAUCGUGUCUGUUUUUUCAUAUCACCAAUGGACAACAACAGUCACUUCAAGGCAUUUCAUACUGUAAAGUAACCCCUUACAAUAUUAGAGAUAUUUCUUAUGAGCUGCACUUGGCAACAGUGGGAAAGAAGAACUCCCUUUUUACAGGAAGAAUCCUCCAGCAGAAACUCAGGGAGGGAUAUAUAACAUUACAACAUCAGGACAAAAUUCAGUUUCAAAUGAGGUAAAUUAAUAGUUGACGGUUUAAUGUACAGUUUUUAUGUAAAUUUAUUUUCCACUCCUUUCAUGAGCUGCUGCCAGCAGUUAGAUUUCUUUAGAUGGUCAGUUUUAUUAAUGCAUGUACUGCACAUACACGACCUCUGAGUACUGUUAUAGGCAUUUAGCAGCAGAUCUGUAAAUAAUGAUGUAAUGUUGCUACUUACUGUUACUUAGUAUUGAUAUUUCCUCACAGCAGAAGCUUUCCACUUUGUUGUGUUUUAGCACAUUUCCCACACCUAUUACUCUCUAUCAAAAUGUAGUCAAAGUGCUAAAACUACAGUUAUGUACCAGCAGAUAAUGAUCAUUUUACCGAACACAGACAUUUGGCUGUUACCUUUAUUGCUGUGCAUAUUAAUGUGCUUAGCUCUCAUAUUCUGGAUCAUACUAGAUUAUGUGCAAACCGAUCUGAGAAGUUUGUAUUUUCAAUUGAUAAGAAGAGUUUAUCUUAUUACUUCUGCUGCAUAACAGGAAAGAAAGAGGGGGAACAAAGAAAAACGUCAUGUUUAAUAUCAGUGUAGCAGUACAACAUCAAGCUGUUUGUGUGUUUGCACAGAACAGUGACGGUUCGCCUGAGGAGUUCAAAUCAGUUUGUCAUUUAUGAAUUUUCUCUACAGUUUCUUCAGCUUUUCAUUUUCUAAAACUGAAUUUCUCUUUCUGUGCAGGGUGCGACUUAAUCAAAGGGACUAAUGCACAAGUCACAUGUCACUUUGUGUCACGCCUAUUGGAACAAUAUGUGUAAGGAGGAUUCGAGAGAAGUCUGAUCAAAGCUGGUGAGGCUGAACGACACAGGCUAGUCAACAGGACAGAUAACUGAUUUUCCUAGAACAGGUCCCGUGUAUUUUCAAAAAGCAAAUGUGGCACAAAAGUGCCAAAAAGCACAAAAUAUCUGAGGACCAAAUUGGAGUCGCUGGGCGGGGCUACCACAGGAAAUUCACCACUGAUUGGCAAAUGCAGUUACUAUGUAACAAAAUGUGGGCUAGUUCUGAAGACGCACACUGGGACCGUGUUGCUGGAAAUGAGAUACAUGUGAGUGACUGUAGUCGGUCAGAACCAAAUAUUUUCUGUCUUCAGGUUGUUUGUAAAAGAAAUGCGCUUUCUCACUUCAAUGCAACUUUAUCCCCAUAAAUAUCUCAAAGCCCAGUUCAGACUGCUUGAUGGCCCCGACAGAGGUUUGUCGAAAUAGCUUCAGAAACUGUUGUAUAAAUUAUAAUGUACGAACCACAAGUUAUCUCAGUAGCAGAUAAGGUGAGCAGCAGCCAUCUUGGUUAUUUACAAAAGAUCCACAGCAGGGCUCCUCGGUGUAUUUACAUCAAACCUGCCCUGUAUUAGAUGAAUGUUUGUGAUUGGCCUGACACAAACAGGGCUGCGUGGAAAUGUGAAGACGGAUGCAUUCUGCACGAGCUAAGGAAACACAAGCUCUUAUUCAUUUGGUUCCCAGGCUAUAUUUAUUACCCCCCCCCCCCCCCCCCUUUAAAAAAAAAUAAACGGUAUAAGAUAUUGUUUUUGGUUGUGUGAGAAUUUUUGUACAGAAAUAAGUUUCCUGCCAAAAAAAAUUGUGUUUGGUUUCUCAGAUUGGCUCAAGUUCAGCUCGCCAAAAGCCGGAAGCGAUUUAAUAAGGGACACGCUAAAUGGGAGUGGUGAGUGAUUGGAUCUGUUAUGGCAGUGCCAUUUAGAAAAAACCUCUCCUCGCUGCAGCCAUGUUGGUAAUAUCAGAUAUAAAAAUAAAUAAAUAAAAACUC
Molecule: long non-coding RNA, 3287 nt
Organism: Oreochromis niloticus (Nile tilapia)
Lineage: Eukaryota; Metazoa; Chordata; Actinopteri; Cichliformes; Cichlidae
Exons: 2
Source: RefSeq, a predicted model, not a curated record